RNAcentral lists this ribosomal RNA (1642 nucleotides) under Chloroidium sp. UTEX 3077. Its description in RNAcentral is "SSU rRNA". It matches the Rfam family "Bacterial small subunit ribosomal RNA". The record is from RNAcentral. Lineage: Eukaryota; Viridiplantae; Chlorophyta; Trebouxiophyceae; Watanabeales; Watanabeaceae.
AUAAACAAGAGUUUGAUCCUGGCUCAGAAUGAACGCUAGCAACGGGCUUAACACAUGCAAGUGAAACAUAGGCAACAAUUAUCUAUAAGGUAUAUAUCUGCUUACGUCGCAAACGGGUGAGUAACACGUGAGAAUCUACCCAACAGCUUGGCAUAAAAAAGGUUGAGAUUUGUUUCUCAGAUUGAUGAGGACACCUCUAUCUUUUCAAUUCCGAAUACAAAAGAAAAGGCAUAGAACCGCUGUUAGAUGAGCUCGCGGAAGAUUAGGUAGUUGGUAAGGUAAGAGCUGUACCAAGCCGUAGAUCUUUAGCUGGUCUGAGAGGACGAUCAGCCACAUUGGGACUGAGACACGGCCCAAACGCUAUUCAGCGGCAGCAGUGAGGAAUCUUGGACAAUGAACGCAAGUUUGAUCCAGCCAUGUUGCAUGGGGGAUGAAGGCUCUUUUGGUUGUAAACCCCUGAUUUAAGGUAAAAUAAUAGUACAAUCUAUAAAGAUAAACACGAACUCCGUGCCAGCAGCCGCGGUAAUACGGGGGGGGCAAGCGUUAUUCGAAAUAACUGGGCGUAAAGGGCAUGUAGGUGGCUUAUAAUCCGCUUUAACUUAAAAAAAGCCUAGUAAAAGAAGACGUUUUGGAUGUAGGCUUGAGUAAGGUAGAAGAGAGUGGAAUUUCUAAAGGAGAGGUUAAAUUUGCAGAUAUUAGAAGGAACGCCAAAAGCGAAGGCAGCUCUCUAGACCUUUACUGACACUGAGCUGCGAAAGCGUGGGGAGCAAAGGAGAUUAGAUACCUCCGUAGUCCACGCCCUCAACGAUGAAGAUUCAUUGUCAGAUCACUAAAAACAAACUGUUUCUCAAUGUGGCCUCAGCUCUGCUGAGAUACUAUUUUUGAGUAAUCAAUUCUUUAGGUUGAUUUGGUGAUCCAGCUAACGCGUUAAAUCUUCCGCCUGAGGAGUACAACCGCAAGGUUAAAACUCAAAGGAAUAGACGGGGGCCCAUACAAGUGGUGGAACAUGUGGUUUAAUUCGAAACAACGCGCAAAACCUUACCAGCCCUUGACAUCAGUUUGAUUUUACACGUAACUGUGUAAAAAUUCAAUUGACAGGCGUUGCAUGGCUGUCGUCAGCUCGUGUCGUGAGAUGUUAGGUUAAGUCCUUUAACGAGCGAAACCCUUCUACUUUGUUGCUAGGAACGUAAGGAACGUUACGUACUCAAAGUAUACUGUCGGUGAUAUACCGAAGGAAGGUGAGGAUUACGUCAAGUCGUCAUGACCCUUAUGGGCUGGGCUACACACGUGUUACAAUGGCGAUCACAAAAGGAAGCAAUGGCGCAAGCCGGAGCGAAUCCCUAAAAGUCGUCUCAGUCCGGAUUGUUCUCUGCAACUCGAGAGCAUGAAGUUGGAAUCACUAGUAAUCGUGGAUCAGCACGCCACGGUGAAAUCGUACCUGGGCCUUGUACUCCCCGCCCGUCACGCUCUGGAAAUUGAAUAAUUAUUAAGAGUUUUACAUUUGAACGGCAAACAAAAGCUUUCUUAGAUAUAAUCUAAUUUGCGUUUUUUUCCCUAUCAACAUGUAAAGCUCCAAGACUUUUUUAGUAACUGGAGCGAAGUCGUAACAAGGUAGCCGUAGGGGAACUUGCGGCUGGAUUGA